Molecule: ribosomal RNA, 253 nt
Filed under: uncultured bacterium
Lineage: Bacteria
Description: partial 16S ribosomal RNA
Rfam family: Bacterial small subunit ribosomal RNA
Source: RNAcentral
AACGUAAGAGACGAACGUUAUCCGGAGUUACUGGGCGUAAAGGGCGUGUAGGCGGUUUGUUAAGUCUGGCGUGAAAGCUCUCGGCUAAACCGGGAGAGGUCGUUGGAUACAGGCGAACUAGAGGAUGGUAGAGGCGUGUGGAAUUCCGGGUGUAGUGGUGAAAUGCGUAGAGAUCCGGAGGAACACCAGUGGCGAAGGCGACACGCUGGGCCAUACCUGACGCUAAAGCGCGACAGCAUGGGGAGCAAACGGG